GAUGAACGCUGGCGGCGUGCCUAAUACAUGCAAGUCGAGCGAACAGACGAGGAGCUUGCUCCUCUGACGUUAGCGGCGGACGGGUGAGUAACACGUGGAUAACCUACCUAUAAGACUGGGAUAACUUCGGGAAACCGGAGCUAAUACCGGAUAAUAUAUUGAACCGCAUGGUUCAAUAGUGAAAGACGGUUUUGCUGUCACUUAUAGAUGGAUCCGCGCCGCAUUAGCUAGUUGGUAAGGUAACGGCUUACCAAGGCAACGAUGCGUAGCCGACCUGAGAGGGGGAGAGGCCACAGGGAAACGGGAACAGGGACAAAAACCCCAGGGGGGGAAACAGGGGGAAAAUUUCCGAAAGGGGGAAAAGCAUAACGGGAAAACGCGGGGGGGUGAAGGAGGGUUUUGGGAGGGUAAAACUUUUUUAUGAGGAAAAAAAAAAGGGGAAAAAAAAUAGGAAGGUUUGAAGGGAACAAAAGAAGAAAACCAGGGUAAACUAGGG
RNAcentral lists this ribosomal RNA (496 nucleotides) under uncultured bacterium. Its description in RNAcentral is "partial 16S ribosomal RNA". The stretch from base 15 to 380 matches the Rfam family "Bacterial small subunit ribosomal RNA", at positions 42 to 397 of the family's 1533-position model. The record is from RNAcentral.